Molecule: ribosomal RNA, 441 nt
Filed under: Streptomyces sp. R-46037
Lineage: Bacteria; Bacillati; Actinomycetota; Actinomycetes; Kitasatosporales; Streptomycetaceae
Description: bacterial SSU rRNA
Rfam family: Bacterial small subunit ribosomal RNA
Source: RNAcentral
AGUUUGAAUCCUGGCUCAGGACGAACGCUGGCGGCGUGCUUAACACAUGCAAGUCGAACGAUGAACCACUUCGGUGGGGAUUAGUGGCGAACGGGUGAGUAACACGUGGGCAAUCUGCCCUUCACUCUGGGACAAGCCCUGGAAACGGGGUCUAAUACCGGAUGACACUYCKWCWGGCAUSKGWGGGGGUUGAAAGCUCCGGCGGUGAAGGAUGAGCCCGCGGCCUAUCAGCUUGUUGGUGAGGUAGUGGCUCACCAAGGCGACGACGGGUAGCCGGCCUGAGAGGGCGACCGGCCACACUGGGACUGAGACACGGCCCAGACUCCUACGGGAGGCAGCAGUGGGGAAUAUUGCACAAUGGGCGAAAGCCUGAUGCAGCGACGCCGCGUGAGGGAUGACGGCCUUCGGGUUGUAAACCUCUUUCAGCAGGGAAGAAGCGAA